This is a non-coding RNA of Bos taurus (domestic cattle), 72 nucleotides long. Lineage: Eukaryota; Metazoa; Chordata; Mammalia; Artiodactyla; Bovidae. The record is from Rfam.
UCCCUGGUAGCUCAGAUGGUGAAGAAUCUGCCUGCAGUGCAGGAGACCUAGGUUCGAUCCCUGGAUUGGGAA